This 483-nucleotide ribosomal RNA is filed under the name uncultured Saprospiraceae bacterium. RNAcentral describes it as "bacterial SSU rRNA". It matches the Rfam family "Bacterial small subunit ribosomal RNA", at positions 28 to 505 of the family's 1533-position model. Lineage: Bacteria; Pseudomonadati; Bacteroidota; Saprospiria; Saprospirales; Saprospiraceae. The record is from RNAcentral.
GAUGAACGCUAGCGGCAGGCCUAAUACAUGCAAGUCGAACGGUAACAUGAGAGCUUGCUCUUGAUGACGAGUGGCGCACGGGUGCGUAACGCGUACAUAACCUACCCUGAAGAGAGGGAUAGCCCUGGGAAACUGGGAGUAAUACCUCAUAGUGUUGCGAGAUCGCAUGAUUUUGCAACUAAAUGUUGAGGCGCUUUGGGAUGGAUGUGCGUGCCAUUAGAUAGUUGGUAAGGUAACGGCUUACCAAGUCAGCGAUGGCUAGGGGGCGUGAGAGCGUGGCCCCCCACACGGGUACUGAGACACGGACCCGACUCCUACGGGAGGCAGCAGUAAGGAAUAUUGGUCAAUGGGGGCAACCCUGAACCAGCCAUGCCGCGUGCAGGAUGACUGCCCUAUGGGUUGUAAACUGCUUUUAUACAGGAAGAACGGCGGAGAUUUAUUUCCGUGUGACGGUACUGUACGAAUAAGGACCGGCUAACUCCG